GGAAGACACGGAGCCGCAGCGAAAGCGAGUCUGAAAAGGGCGACAGUUAGUGUACGUAGACCCGAAACUGCAGUGAUCUACCCAUGUCCAGGUUGAAGCGCAGGUAAAAUUGCGUGGAGGACCGAACCCGUGAACGUUGAAAAGUUUUGGGAUGAGAUGUGGGUAGCGGUGAAAUUCCAAUCGAACGCAGAGAUAGCUGGUUCUCCUCGAAAUAGCUUUAGGGCUAGCCUCAGGUAGUAAGUAUAGGCGGUAGAGCACUGAUCGGGCUAGGGGGCGUAAAGUCUACCGAACCCUGUCAAACUCCGAAUGGUUAUACUGCAAAGCCUGGGAGUCAGACUACGGGUGAUAAGAUUCGUGGUCAAAAGGGAAACAGCCCAGACCACCAGCUAAGGUCCCAAAUGCCGUACUAAGUGGCAAAGGAUGUGGGGUUACAUAAACAACCAGGAUGUUGGCUUAGAAGCAGCCACCAUUUAAAGAGUGCGUAAUAGCUCACUGGUCGAGUGACCCUGCGCCGAAGAUUCCCGGGGCUAAAGUACGGAACCGAAGCUGUGGAUGCAUUGCUUGAGCAAUGCGUGGUAGAGGAGCGUUCCCAUCGGGUUGAAGUCGUUCUGUAAGGAACGGUGGACUGGUGGGAAGUGAGAAUGUUGGCAUGAGUAGCGAAAAGAAAGGUGAGAAUCCUUUCCACCGAAAGCAUAAGGAUUCCUGAGCAACGCUCGUCGUCUCAGGGUAAGUCGGGGCCUAAUCCGAGGCAUAAAGCGUAGGAGAUGGACAACUGGUUGAUAUUCCAGUACCGGUAAUGUUUGUUUGAGCAAUGGAGUGACACAGAAGGGCAGGCAAUCACGAGAUUGGUAGUUCGUGUGCAAGCAUGUAGGGUGGAGCGUAGGCAAAUCCGCGCUUCUGAGCCUGAGGUGUGAUGCGGAGGCAAGAAAUUGCCGAAGUUGCUGACCCCACGCUGUCGAGAAAAGCUUCUAGUUAGAACAUGACCGCCCGUACCGUAAACCGACACAGGUAUGCGGGGAGAGAAUCCUAAGGUGCGCGGGAGAACCCUCGUUAAGGAACUCGGCAAAAUGUACCCGUAACUUCGGGAUAAGGGUAGCCAUCAGGGUGAAGGGACUUGCUCCUGGAGCCUAGUAUGGUCGCAGAGAAGAGGCCCAAGCGACUGUUUACCAUAAACACAGGUGCCUGCUAAAGAGAAAUCUGACGUAUAGGUGCUGACACCUGCCCAGUGCCGGAAGGUUAAGGAAGGAUGUUCGGAUUAGUCCAAAGCAUUUGACCGAAGCCCCGGUGAACGGCGGCCGUAACUAUAACGGUCCUAAGGUAGCGAAAUUCCUUGUCGGGUAAG
This 1342-nucleotide ribosomal RNA is filed under the name metagenome. Its description in RNAcentral is "bacterial LSU rRNA". It matches the Rfam family "Bacterial large subunit ribosomal RNA", at positions 653 to 1980 of the family's 2925-position model. The record is from RNAcentral.